UACGUAGGGUGCAAGCGUUGUCCGGAAUUAUUGGGCGUAAAGAGCUCGUAGGCGGUCUGUCGCGUCGGCUGUGAAAUCCCGGAGCUCAACUCCGGGUCUGCAGUCGAUACGGGCAAGCUGGAGUACUGCAGGGGAGACUGGAAUUCCUGGUGUAGCGGUGAAAUGCGCAGAUAUCAGGAGGAACACCGGUGGCGAAGGCGGGUCUCUGGGCAGUAACUGACGCUGAGGAGCGAAAGCGUGGGGAGCGAACAGG
RNAcentral lists this ribosomal RNA (253 nucleotides) under uncultured bacterium. Its description in RNAcentral is "partial 16S ribosomal RNA". It matches the Rfam family "Bacterial small subunit ribosomal RNA", at positions 524 to 776 of the family's 1533-position model. The record is from RNAcentral.